RNAcentral lists this ribosomal RNA (506 nucleotides) under uncultured bacterium. RNAcentral's name for it is "partial 16S ribosomal RNA". It matches the Rfam family "Bacterial small subunit ribosomal RNA", at positions 28 to 523 of the family's 1533-position model. The record is from RNAcentral.
GAUGAACGCUAGCUACAGGCUUAACACAUGCAAGUCGAGGGGUAACGAGAGGAAAGCUUGCUUUCCUUGUCGACGACCGGCGCACGGGUGAGUAACGCGUAUCCAACCUGCCCCCAACUAAGGAAUAACCUUGCGAAAGUAAGACUAAUACCUUAUAAUUUCCUCAGAUGUCAUCUGACGAGGAAUAAAGAUUUAUCGGUUGUGGAUGGGGAUGCGUCUGAUUAGCUUGUUGGCGGGGUAACGGCCCACCAAGGCAACGAUCAGUAGGGGUUCUGAGAGGAAGGUCCCCCACAUUGGAACUGAGACACGGUCCAAACUCCUACGGGAGGCAGCAGUGAGGAAUAUUGGUCAAUGGGCGAAAGCCUGAACCAGCCAAGUAGCGUGCAGGAUGACGGCCCUAUGGGUUGUAAACUGCUUUUAUACAGGAAUAAAGUUAGCCACGUGUGGUUAUUUGUAGGUACUGUAUGAAUAAGGACCGGCUAAUUCCGUGCCAGCCGCCGCAGUAA